RNAcentral lists this ribosomal RNA (494 nucleotides) under uncultured bacterium. RNAcentral describes it as "partial 16S ribosomal RNA". It matches the Rfam family "Bacterial small subunit ribosomal RNA", at positions 28 to 507 of the family's 1533-position model. The record is from RNAcentral.
GACGAACGCUGGCGGCGUGCUUAACACAUGCCAGUCGAACGGAAAGGCCUGCUUUCCCUUGUGGAUUGCGGGUACUCGAGUGGCGAACGGGUGAGUAACACGUGAGUGAUCUGCCCCCAACUUGGGUAUAAGCCUGGGAAACUGGGUCUAAUUCCCGAUAGGACUGCAGGGUGGUGCCUGUGGUGGAAAACGAUUUUCUAGUGGUUGGGGAUGAGCUCGCGGCCUAUCAGCUUGUUGGUGGGGUAAUGGCCUACCAAGGCGGCGACGGGUAGCCGGCCUGGGGGGGUGGGCGGCAGCAGUGGGACUGAGACACGGCGCAGACUACUACGGGAGGCAGCAGUGGGGAAUAUGGCACGAUGGGCGGAAGACUGAGGCAGCGACGCCGCGUGGGGGAUGACGGCCUUCGGGUGGUAAACUCCUUUCGACAGCGAGGAAGCCACCUGGUUGGAAGGGUGGUGACGGUAGUGGUAGAAGAAGCACCGGCUAACUACGUG